This is a non-coding RNA of Agrilus planipennis (emerald ash borer), 191 nucleotides long. The record is from Rfam. Lineage: Eukaryota; Metazoa; Arthropoda; Insecta; Coleoptera; Buprestidae.
AUAUACCACAGUUGGUAUAGAUACAUUCCUCAUCGCACCCUCGGCUGAAGAGGACCCUAGUUGGUCCUAAAACGGUCUGAGGUAGAGGGGUUUUAGUCGGUAGGUCCGAGGACUUCUUCCUCGGGAAUCCGACACUACCCAGUCGUACGGACGGCUGGGUGUCUUCUGAAGAUUUCCCCUCUUCCACGAAA